CUACGGGGGGCAGCAGUGAGGAAUAUUGCACAAUGGGGGGAACCCUGAUGCAGCAACGCCGCGUGGAGGAUGACGCAUUUCGGUGUGUAAACUCCUUUUAUAUGUCAAGAAAAUGACGGUAGCAUAUGAAUAAGCACCCGCUAACUCCGUGCCAGCAGCCGCGGUAAUACGGAGGGUGCAAGCGUUAGACGGAAUUACUGGGCGUAAAGGACGCGUAGGCGGGUUGGAAAGUCAGGUGUGAAAUCCUACAGCUUAACUGUAGAACUGCACUUGAAACUUCUAAUCUAGAGUAUGGGAGGGGGAGAUGGAAUUAGUGGUGUAGGGGUAAAAUCCGUAGAUAUCACUAGGAAUACCUAAAGCGAAGGCGAUCUCCUGGAACAUUACUGACGCUAAGGCGUGAAAGCGUGGGGAGCAAACAGGAUUAGAUACCCGAGUAGUC
Molecule: ribosomal RNA, 439 nt
Filed under: uncultured bacterium
Lineage: Bacteria
Description: partial 16S ribosomal RNA
Rfam family: Bacterial small subunit ribosomal RNA
Source: RNAcentral